This is a non-coding RNA of Schistosoma mansoni, 46 nucleotides long. NCBI's taxonomy places the organism in Eukaryota, Metazoa, Platyhelminthes, Trematoda, Strigeidida, Schistosomatidae. The record is from Rfam.
AAACCGGCCCUCUUCAGGGCCACCACAAUUUGAUUCGACUUGCCUU